Molecule: long non-coding RNA, 758 nt
Filed under: Equus asinus (donkey)
Lineage: Eukaryota; Metazoa; Chordata; Mammalia; Perissodactyla; Equidae
Description: lncRNA (ENSEASG00005036865.1)
Source: RNAcentral
CCCGAGGCUGUCGCGGGCGGUUAGGUCCGGCGGGAGCUUCUGUUUCACUGGCGCGCCCACUAUGACGAUCACCUACAGCUGCAUUGCUAAUGGCCGAAUGGUCUUAGCGGAGUUGGCCCUGACCGGCGGCUCCUAUCAGGAAGCAGCGUCAACAGUGCUUAGACUAGUGCUUCUUAGAGCUGAACCAAAGACCGUAAUUCAAAUGGGAAGCUUCGUCUACCAUACUCUCUUUAUUGAUGGAAUCACUUACCUAUGUGCCUCAGACAAUGCCCUGGAUACUGUAACACCAUCUGCAUUUCUCAAAAAUGUAAAAUACAAUAAAAACCAAGAUAACAGCUCUAUAUCCACCCUGAGGAGUCAAGUAACUGAUGUAAAAAAUGCUAUGACCCAAAAUAUUGAUAAAAUUUUGGAGAGCGAAGAAAGAUCAAAUAUCUUCCCCGACAGUACAGAUGAUCUUCAAACAGCUGUAAGUGAUGCACACCUGUCUCGGUACCCACACAGUGCACUAAGCCAUAGGAUCACUGCCCUUGAGACAGAGUGCCAAAAGCAAGAACAUACCCAGGGAUACUGUGAGAUAAUCCUGUCACCAGACUAUGGGUUUAUCGAAAAAUUAUUGGAAUGCAACUAAAAUGUUAAAAGAGAAAUUAGAAAACAAUCCAAAUUUAAAACUUAUUAAAAAGUAGGAGGUAGUCAUUUGAAUAACAGAAAGAUUUCUUACAUUAAGAAAUACACAGGUUAUUCAACACAUAAAUUGCAAG